This 22-nucleotide microRNA is filed under the name Danio rerio (zebrafish). RNAcentral's name for it is "Dre-Mir-456_5p* (star (passenger))". Lineage: Eukaryota; Metazoa; Chordata; Actinopteri; Cypriniformes; Danionidae. The record is from RNAcentral.
GCAGGCAUCUUUCCAGUCUACA